Molecule: ribosomal RNA, 51 nt
Filed under: Sterigmatomyces halophilus
Lineage: Eukaryota; Fungi; Basidiomycota; Agaricostilbomycetes; Agaricostilbales; Agaricostilbaceae
Also listed under: 1 other name
Description: partial 28S ribosomal RNA
Source: RNAcentral
UUCUGACCUCAAAUCAGGUAGGAUUACCCGCUGAACUUAAGCAUAUCAAUA